CCCCCGUCUCCCUCGGGCGCCGCUCCCCUGCCAGUUCCACAGUGACAAUAUGAGAUAGCGCAUCCGAAGAAGCACAGCCAAAUAUUUGAUUUGGACGAUUACACUGAAGAUGCCUCAUCACAACUGUGGGUGCCCAGAUUACCAACUCCUUGCUCUUGGCUCCCGCACACUUUGCAUGCUUGUAUGUAUAGAUGCCACCAUCGAAUGUAUAUUGGGAUAAAGAGAAGACCAACCCAACUCUUCUGCUCACUAUCAGCCAAGCAGUCGUCACCAGAGCCAGCAGGAUGCAGCGGAUAACUGAUCAUGGAAGGUAGUAUGUUUCAGAAGCCGGUGAUUAGCAUUAGAGCAGAGAAUUUCACUCCAUGUUCUUCAUAAGCUCUCAAGGUGAUUCUGAAAGUCACCAUGUUUGAGAAGCACUCUGCUGCUGACAUAGAAGCUGCCCUCAAUUUAUUGCUUUAUUUUUCAUCUCCUGUGUCACAUGCACCUGGCACCGAGAUAUGGGACAUAAACAAUGAAACUGCUGGCAAGAUGGUAACUUACGGCAGAGAUGAAACUCACCAUACACUCUAAAAGCAUGGACGCUGCUCAAGGAGGUUUCAGUCAUUGACAUACCAGAAACUUGGCUUCACUUGGCAGACUGCCCUGCUACCUCUUAGACUAAUGACACGAUGUCAUGUAUAAAUGACUUUCUCUGUUUCGUUUCAGUCACUCCCAGAAUGAUCAGGAACUCAUGUCAUCUGUAUUCAAUCUAACGUCCAGUUCAGAGAAAUAAUAACCUCAGUGAGGGUAAAGAAAGUAGGCUUUAGGCUUUUGGCUUCCAAGAUGAGCUAGGUUCAAGAACAGAAGAGGGAAAGGAACCCAAGAACAGGCAGUCCAGAUUCCAGGACAGAGUGGGAGCGAGAGGCAAGAUUCAGCAUGUCUGGUGCCGGAAAGGGGGCCACAGGGGCUGGGACGUGGGGAGCACCACCAUGAAGUUAAAGCGGAAAGUAAAAUUUCAGAUGGAAUAAAGGGAGACUCAGAGUCAUCUGUUGGCAGUGUUGGUUUAGUCUUAAUUUGAAACACAUUUCGUGAAUCCCUUCCAUUUCCUCUGUGCAAAACCCAAAAGCUUUCAUACCUGCAUUUCUCUUCCCAAGAGGCAAGCCCCCAACUUCCUCGAGUGACUGAAUCUCCUACAAGCACUCCGUUCUGCUUUAGAGGGAAAUAAAGUAUCCUGGCUAGCA
Long non-coding RNA from Felis catus (domestic cat), 1220 nucleotides. RefSeq lists it as uncharacterized. The record is from RefSeq and is a predicted model, not a curated record. NCBI's taxonomy places the organism in Eukaryota, Metazoa, Chordata, Mammalia, Carnivora, Felidae. The transcript is spliced from 2 exons.